Molecule: ribosomal RNA, 255 nt
Filed under: uncultured bacterium
Lineage: Bacteria
Description: partial 16S ribosomal RNA
Rfam family: Bacterial small subunit ribosomal RNA
Source: RNAcentral
GACAGAGGAUGCAAGCGUUAUCCGGAAUGAUUGGGCGUAAAGCGUCUGUAGGUGGCUUUUUAAGUCCGCCGUCAAAUCCCAGGGCUCAACCCUGGACAGGCGGUGGAAACUACCAAGCUGGAGUACGGUAGGGGCAGAGGGAAUUUCCGGUGGAGCGGUGAAAUGCGUAGAGAGUCGGGAGGAACACCAGUGGCGAAGGCGGCUACCUGGACCAGCACUGACACUGAGGCACGAAAGCGUGGGGAGCAAACAGGG